CUUUGACUCGUCAAAUUUAGUUUCAUUUACAGAGAGAAGUAUUAUAACAUCGUGAUAUAUCCUUUGCUGGCCGGAAACGAAAAUUAGUGGAAAAUGGAGUCGUCGAAAGAAGUACAGAAAUCAUCCGAUGCAGGAGACGUCUCUGGAACUAAAACUAGUGAAUCGUCAAUCAAAGGCAAUCUUUCAGCCACUAUCAGAGACGGUAUCUCUGCAAACGUAGAAAUCAAAUCGAAACAGGAAUUAACAUUCUCAUCAAAAAAAUAAAGAUCAAAAGUGGAAACAACACACCCAUGACCAUCUCUACAUAUUAUGUAAUGAGGACUAUUCUUCAACGUGUCCUUUAAAAAGAUGGCAUGGGUUGUCUUUUAGUCAAACUUGCCACAAUAUUUUAAAACCAGGAUAAGUCUGGUGAUUUCAAAUAACGAUGAUUAAUAUCCAAUGAUUAAAAAUAUAUGUAAUUUGUAGCUAAUGUAUUACGUAUGCAUAUAAUAGGCAUCUUAAAUAUAUUCUGAGUUAUAGAAGUGAUUAUCUCUCUUACAAUAAUCAACUGAACCGAGGUUGCACGUUUUCAGUUAUAUAAUGAUUCAAUAAGCAUGGAGCAAUAAAGAAGUCAAUAUCCGUAAAA
Octopus sinensis (East Asian common octopus) is the source of this 625-nucleotide long non-coding RNA. RefSeq lists it as uncharacterized. The record is from RefSeq and is a predicted model, not a curated record. The transcript is spliced from 2 exons. NCBI's taxonomy places the organism in Eukaryota, Metazoa, Mollusca, Cephalopoda, Octopoda, Octopodidae.